GCCGGGAUGGCGGAAUCGGUAGACGCAGCGGAUUCAAAAUCCGCCGCUGGAAACAGUGUGGGGUUCGAGUCCCCCUCCCGGCACCA
RNAcentral lists this transfer RNA (86 nucleotides) under Thiobacillus sp. RNAcentral's name for it is "tRNA-Leu". It matches the Rfam family "tRNA". From Rfam's summary of the family: Transfer RNA (tRNA) molecules are approximately 80 nucleotides in length. The record is from RNAcentral. Lineage: Bacteria; Pseudomonadati; Pseudomonadota; Betaproteobacteria; Nitrosomonadales; Thiobacillaceae.